AGAACGAACGCUGGCGGCGUGGAUAAGACAUGCAAGUCGAGCGGAACUAGUUUUGUAGCAAUACAGAACUAGUUUAGCGGCGAACGGGUGCGUAACACGUGAGAACCUGCCCAAAAGAGGGGGAUAGCCCGCCGAAAGGCGGAUUAAUACCGCAUAUUAACAAAGCAGCAAUGCACUUUUGGAUGGGCUCGCGGCCUAUCAGCUAGAUGGUGAGGUAACGGCUCACCAUGGCGAUGACGGGUAGCUGGUCUGAGAGGACGACCAGCCACACUGGGACUGAGACACGGCCCAGACACCUACGGGUGGCAGCAGUCGAGAAUUUUUUCACAAU
RNAcentral lists this ribosomal RNA (331 nucleotides) under uncultured bacterium. RNAcentral describes it as "SSU rRNA". It matches the Rfam family "Bacterial small subunit ribosomal RNA", at positions 26 to 372 of the family's 1533-position model. The record is from RNAcentral.